ACAUGACCUGUCACUCGCUGAUUCUCCUUGCAGCAAGUAAACUGGAAACAUGAGUCCUGUUAUCUUUGUUCACUGGGUUCUGGUUAUUGAACCGAGCUGGGGUUUACUCUUACAAAGUAAUAUAUAGAUACCUCACAUUAAUUGGUCCUUCGAGCCGGAUUCCAAUACAUCGUGACGGGAAGGAGGAGGGAAAAGACACGCCGCAAGUCUGUCGACAGCCGGGAUCAUCAGCCGACCCCGAGAAAGACCCGGGACGCAGAAUUCGUGGCCGGGCCGGUGCUUAUAUGUCCAACCUCCCUCAUCCUCGGCACGAUUGACGGAAUCCAACCGGACCAGUGACCACAGAUAACGGGUAAGAUAAAAGUUGAUAUACAUGGUUUCUCCACCAUUUAAGGAGGUAGAGAAAGGCUUCUCCGCCAUUUAAGGAGGAUUGACGUGUCUUUGGGUACACUUAUGAGAAAGGUUUCUCCGCCGUUAAGGAGGUUGAUAAAACGUUGAUUGAGAAAGGUUUCUCCGCCGUUAAGGAGGUUGAUAAAACGUUGAUAGAGAAAGGCUACUCCGCCGUUAAGGAGGUUGAUAAAACGUUGAUAGAGAAAGGCUACUCCGCCUAGGAGGAGGAUCGACGUGCCUUUGGGUACACUUAUGAGUGAAAGCAGUGUGUAAAAGUGUCACCAAGUGGAAUCAGCGCACAGAGUGGAAACCUAACGGUGAUAACAAAAACUCUGUGGUCUGUUGAAGUACACUAGUGGUGAAUUAGGAAUUAGGUUCUGACCGGCACGUUGUCCAGUAGGAACA
Molecule: long non-coding RNA, 795 nt
Organism: Gymnodraco acuticeps
Lineage: Eukaryota; Metazoa; Chordata; Actinopteri; Perciformes; Bathydraconidae
Exons: 2
Source: RefSeq, a predicted model, not a curated record